AUGAUUAACAAGUGGGAGAAGCUGGUCUCUGUAGACGAGGGGCCAUGUGAAUUGGAUGUCUGGCCUGAUCUUCAAGGCUUAACAUGUGAUGCUAUUUCUCGAACGUCGUUUGGAAGUAAUUACGAAGAAGGAAAAAGAAUAUUUGAUCUCCUCAAGGAACUUACCAAUCUUACAGCUCAUGUUAUAAUAAAAGCUAUUGUCAUACCAGGGUACAGGUAACUCUUUAUUCUGUUUUUGCUGGACAUUACAAUUCAGUUCCUUCAAGUUAGUCCUUCUUCAAUGAGAUAUAUCUUAAAAGUAUGAAGCAGAACAAAUCCAAAUCUCUUGACAACAUGUUCAUGGAUUGCAUGUAGGUUUCUGCCGAUCCCAUCUAAUAGAAGGCUAAAAGCUAUUGACAAAGAAAUAAAAGCUUCUCUUAAUGCUCUCAUCAACAAAAGAGAGAAAGCAAUGAGUGCUGGUGAAGAAGCAAAGAAAGACUUGUUGGGUUUACUUCUGGAAUCCAAUUUUAGAGAAAUACAAGAGCAUGGAAAUACCAAGAGCGUCGGAAUGAGCAUUGAAGAUGUGAUUGAUGAAUGUAAAUUAUUCUACUUUGCUGGACAAGAAACAACCUUAGUUCUUCUUACCUGGACCAUGGUUUUAUUGGCUCAGUAUCCGAAUUGGCAAGCACGCGCAAGAGAAGAGGUUGUGCAAGUCUUUGGUAACAAAAAACCAGAUUUCGAUGGGCUAAAUCACCUUAAAGUUGUGAGUAUUUCUCUGCAUUUGCAACUGAAUUCUUCUACAUCAAUAUUGUCUUAUUAUUGUUAAGAACACAGAGCAUUCUUGCAUUUAAAAUGCAAGCUUAGGUAUCCUGUGAAGAAAAAGUAAGAUAGCAGAAAAAAAACGUUCAUGUUUUCUUUCGUUGAAUUAUUAAUCGGCCAAAAUGACGAGGAAAAGCAACCAACAGAUGAGUAGGCAAGCAAGCUAGGAGGUGACAUCUAUAUACAUUAAGAAUGAGAUUUACUAGUUCUUGGAUCAACAUAAAAAUUCUCAUUUUAGUAAGUUGAAAUGGCAUGCAAAUGAUCUCAAUAUAUGCGAUAUUUUAUUUUAUCUACGUUGAUCGCAUGUCACCUUUCUGACGGAUUCUUACCAUGUAGUAUCAUUUUCUCUUUUGAUGCAUGUUACAGGUUACCAUGAUUUUGUAUGAAGUUCUUAGGUUAUACCCGCCGGUAAUUAUGCUUAAUCGAGAUGUUCAUGAAGAAAUAAAGCUUGGAAAUUUGCUAUUACCUGCCGGAGUGCAGGUCUCGUUGCCAAUAAUCCUCCUUCACCAAGAUCAUGAACUAUGGGGUGAUGAUGCCUCUGAGUUCAAACCAGAGAGGUUUGCUGAAGGUAUUUCAAAGGCAACAAAGAGUCAGGUCUCAUUCCUUCCAUUUGGAUGGGGUCCUCGAAUAUGCGUUGGACAAAACUUUGCUUUGAUUGAAGCAAAAAUGGCUUUGGCAAUGGUUUUACAGCGCUACUCUUUUGAGCUCUCUCCGUCGUAUAUUCAUGCUCCUCGCACAGUCAUAACUCUUCAGCCACAGCACGGUGCUCCAAUGAUAUUACGUAAACUCUAAAAUGUUUAUAUGUGACGGGUAAGAGUUAUCCUCUAGUUUGUAACCCUUCAGCCACAGCACGGUUCCUUCAAGGUAUGGUUUAUGAUGCACUUUUUUUUUUUUAUUAUUAUUAUUAGAGGCCUUUGCCAAUUGAUUAAUUAACUGUGAAAGAAUAUUGAAUUAAAAAGUACAUUAUGGGCGUCUAGAUAGAUUACAUACACAAUUAACCGAGCAUAAAAAGGAGUAAAGAAAAAGGGUAGUAACUGAAUAUAUGUAUAAUUAGCUGACAUCACAGCUCAAUGGCUUGGAAGAAAUAUAGAAUGAGUCUCCAGCAGCUUCUCUUCUGCAGGGCUUGUCUGAAAUGCAGAAAACAAUCCUGGCACCCAUAGAGGCUUGUUGCAUAGUAUUUUUCGCUACAUGGUUCCGCACUCCUUGUAAAUUAUUGUUUUUUGAUCAACGAAUAACUUGUACAACAAGAUGUAUUGUACUAAUGAACCCGUUCGAGAUUGCACAGCACCAUUUCCUCGAGAGCUGGUUGAUAGGAUCCCCGAGGAAGACUUCUGAGAUUCUGAAUUGCAAGAUCAGCUCUCUCUUUUGCCAAUUCCUGUGCCCUUUCAAUGCCACCACAGUCCAUAACCAACUCAGUAGCUUCAUCAAGAGAACCACUCUCAUGGAACUCGGUCUCGAUUAUUUCUCUUAGUUUUGGUGAUUGCUCUAGAGCAAAUAUUACUGGAGCAGUCAGGUUCCCCUUUGCCAGGUCACUGCCAGCUGGCUUCCCCGGCAGCUCUGCUGACUGUGUAAAAUCUAAUAUGUCAUCCACAACUUGGAAGGAUAGACCAAGAUUCUUACCAUAUUCAUACAUUAGCAUGCAAACAUUACUGUCCACCCCACUAAAAAUAGCAGCUCCUUUGGUACUAGCAGCAAUUAAGGAGGCUGUCUUGUAGUAAGCUCAAGAUCACAGUCGAACAAGCUAGAUUCCUGCUCUAUUUCACCACUUGCAAAAUCCUUAAUAACCUGCCAUUGAGCGAGAAUAAUUGUAAAUCAACUUCAGUUACAAUUUUUUAAAAUUAGAUAAUAUAUAGCAUAGUAUAGUGCAAGAACUCCAAGGUUAUAUCCUGGACUAUAAAUACUCGGAUAUACAGAAUGGAGUUGCAGACCUACCGAACUGAUAAGCUUAAUGACUUCAAUAUUUUCAAGAUUUGCUAGGUACCAUGACGAUUAAGCAAACAUAAAGUCCCCAGCCAGUACUGCUACCCUUGUACCAUAGUGUUGAUGAACAGUUUCCUUCCCAACAAAUUAGCAGCAGUGAACUGAAAGUCAGAGAAGGCCUUGCAGUAGGCCCAAAAUUAAAUUAGAAAAAAAAAAAAAUGAAAAUGCAAAAUGCAAAAUGCAAUAAAGUGUGUAAUAGAUAUUUCAGUUUUGCUACUCUACUUGAUGUGAUAAGUAUGAGAUCCAAUGAUCGCACGGUCAGUACCAGUGAUUACUUAACAAUUAGCAUAUUUCCUUCAGUUUUUUAUCUCUGAUUAGGGAGCAAUUAUUUUAACAGUGAAAGUAGUGUAUUACAUCACUUUGGAUGUGCACAUUCAAGCUCAUCUCCAGUCAAUAGGCUCUAGCGUAGUAAUUUACAUUGAAAGAAGGCUUCAGCUAUCACUCAUCUAUGACAUACUGACUGAUAAGUAGUGAUCUAUGGCUUAAGAUCUCACUCAUCUAUGACAUACUCUCUGAUAAAGUGAUGUAUCUCUUCAGAUUCCCACAAGUUUAUAGGCUUUUAAGAAAGAAAGGAUACAUAUUUCAUUGGAUCUUCAUACAAUACAGUGCACAAGCCCAUUCAACCAAAGAUUUCUUCACAAUCCCUGCUUGGAAGAAUAAUAGAUAAAUUCAGUUGCCGUUCUAAAGGGAAAUAGGAUUCUAGGGCAAUGAACAAGUCCAAAUAAUCAAAGUUGGCUUCACAAUAAUCAUAAUUUUCAUCUCACAGCUAGGUUGACUAAUAUGCGAGCCUGUUGGACAUCCAUCUAUUAGAACCCUUCUCUUUUCAGCCUUGGACUGGUUCUGCAAAACUCUAAACAGGGCAAAUGGAAUUAAAACUUAUAAUCCUUGGAUACAUUUCUUGAAACUUUUAUAUUUAAAUCUUUGCAUAUGUCUAGAAAUACUCAUUUAGAAAUUCUCCAAAUGAAGCUAAUGUAGGGAGCAGAACCAUGAUUUAUGUUCUAUGAGGUGAUCUUCUAGUUGUAGUAAGACAUGACCUUAUCCAAUACAGAUUAUAAUGCUGAUAACCGGAUUGAGUAUUCUUUCCAUCAAGCAUGCUGUACAAGAAUAUCUGUAAGCAUAUUACAAUAACCAAAUAGAGGUUGUUGUCUGUUACCAUUCCACGGCUACAAAGACCUCAGCACUUUACAAAUACUAAGUACAGAGCAUGCAAACUGUUAUUCGGCGUUGGUGACUAACAUUAGAUCCUUGUACACUGUAAGUUUUAAAAUAACUUGGGUUUAUUCAAUAAGCAUGUGUUGGUGAAUGAUGCAGUGACAUUAAUGAGAUUUUUCAAGUUGCUUUGAUGUGAAAUUCAAAAUCCUAUCUCUUCGCAUGUCACUUUCAUCCAAUACAUCGUCAUGUAUUAAACUUGCAGUGUGGAUCAUCUCAAUAAUCUCCACUAAAUGCCGAUGUUCAGUUGUAUGUUCCCUGCAAAGCAGGAAUGCAAUAUAAGUUUUCUAUUCCAUUCAGCACCAUACGAAGCCCUUAAAAUACUGGAUAAAACUUACUUCAACCCGACUACUUCCGCCGUGGCUCAUGACAGUAGAAAGGCCAGAGGUGGUCACAUUCUCUUCCCACCAGCACUAUAUAUCUGCUCAGCUGCAGACAUCAAAACCGUAUUUUCUGCAGCAACAAUCUACCAGAGCAUCUUCAUCAGAAAUAUAAAAGCUGAAUAUAAAGAACAAGACAAACUAUUCUGAUCCAGUGCAAAAAGGUACAUGACUCAUCAAUAUAGAAGGUAACAGAUAGUAGAAAACAGACAAGUAGAACAUGGAAGCAGGUAAAAGUUCUUAUGCAGUGGCCCUCUUUUGUGAACUCAUCUUGUGCCAAAAUAACCUUGUUUACUUGUACUAUAGUACAGAUUCAGUGCUGAAUUUAAAUUUUUACGCAUUACCGCUAUGCCAACUUAUAUCAACUCAGAACAUUUGUAGUGGUCUAUCAGCUAACCACUAGUUAAUAUAUUGGUAAAAGUUCAUUCUUCAUUGAUCUACUACGACACAAGUGCCCUAAAAACUAUUUUCUAAAAUACAAAAAAUAAUCUCAUGGAACCUCAUUCUACCACAAGCAAACAUUAACUAUUCACUGAUUAAGCAUCAUCCUAAUAUUAUAUCAGAUAAAUCAUAAUGCAUCUUUCUAUGGAAUGAAGAUGAAUGAGCAUGCACUUGAGCCAGGAACCAAAUUCUUAAGCAAGAGACUGAGGAAGAAGAGCCAAUUCCCAGCAAAAUAAAUUACAUACAAGGAUAAAUACCACAGCCACAGACUAACACAACAAUUCAAGAUGGCAUUUUGAAGCAAAACCACAUUCGUAUUCCAAGAAUCAAGAAAUCAUAAAACACCAUCAACUUACAUAAAGCACGAUAUGAAAAUUCAGCAUCUGUCAUUAUUGGCGUGGAAGAACUCAAUAGCAAGCAAUAACUACAUCCUAACAUAUGUCUAACUACACAAUAUCUAACAUGCAUUAACUACUCAACAACAAAUAUCUAAAAAGGGCACUCACCGACCAGAGAUUUUGCUUAAGAGUCUGAAGAUCAGCAGCAACCACUUCAAACAAAUUUGUUAAUGAAACUGGUUCUCUUGACUCUUUCUUCAAAAUUCAGAAGUACUGUUGGACCUUCAGCAACCACUGUAUCAAGCCAAAAAUGAACAAAAAUACCAACAUUUCAAGCAUUACAACAUAUUACAUCAAUGGCAGGUGCUUUAUUGAUGGAGACCAAGCACUUAAAUGUUAUGUUAAGUAAAUGGAAUCUGUAAACACCCAAAGGAAAAUAUAUAUAUAUUUAGAGAGAGAGAGAUGAUGAUGAAUGCAGUUUUCGCUGCCGAUGCAGAAAUCGGCAGCGAUGCAGUAUUCGCUGCCGAUUCUGGACUGGGCAGCGAUGCAGUUUUCGCUGCGACGCAGUUUUCGCUACCGAUGCAGAAAUCGGCAGCGAUGCAGUUUUCGCUGCCGAUUCUGGACUCGGCAGCGACGCAGCCUUCACUACCGAUACAGAAAUCGGUAGCGACACAGUUUUCGCUGCCCAUUUCUUGAUCGGCAGCGACGCAGUUUUCGCUGCCGAUUUCUCAAUGAACAGUGACGCAGAGCUGGGAGGGAGGGGUAAAACUGAUUUUAGAUAAACCAAACAAGGAUAAGGACACACCUAAACCAACCCCCAAACAACCCAUUUCAUUGGAUGGGUAGUAUAAAUACAAAGAGGGGAGAGAGAAUGACCCAUCUUCUUCCAAAUCCAGCAGCUGCAUGCCGUUCUUCCCUUCCCCUUUCACAACAGAAACGUGAAUCAGACCAGUAGAGAUUACUUUGUGAACUUGUGAGGGAGAGAUGAGACCUUGAGAGAGGAGUGGGCAGCUGCAUAGAGGAGAGGAAAAAGAGAGCUGGAAAACGUGAGAGGAAGAAGAAGGAGGAGAACCAGCAGCUGAAUAGUGUCAAACCUUCCUCAAAUUUAGUUAAAUUCAGAAGGUAUGGGUCAUGAAACUCACUUCCUCUCCCCCGUAAGAUCAAAAACGAAAAUGAAGAAGAAAAACCCUAAGAAAAGAAUUGAUCUAAGACCUAAGCCAGCUGUGAAGGAAGCUGAAAUUAACCAAGAGAACAAGCAAACAAAAGUGAAAUAAAGUCAAUUUCAGAACAUCUAACAAAUCAUGGUAGAGGGCUGGCUUUAACUAGGGGGUAAUUAAUGUGUUCUGCUGUGAUGUUGUUGCUGGACUUAAUGUGUUCUGCUGUGAUGAUUGUUGCUGGAAUUAAUGUGUUCUGCUGUGAUGUUUGUUGCUGGAAUUAAUGUGUUCUCCUGUGAUGAUUGUGCUGAAAUUGAUGCUGCCGAUUUGUGUGUUGCGCAGCGAAAUUCUGUUUCGCUGCCGCAACUGAACCUGCUGCUGGAAUUAAUGUGUUCUGCUGUGAUGUUUGCUGCUGGAAUUAAUGUGUUCUGCCUGAACCUGCUGCAGCGAAUUAAUAUUCGCUGCCGAUUUGUGUGUUGCGCAGCGAAAUUCUGUUUCGCUGACGCAACUGAACCUCUUGCAGCGAAUUAAUAUUCGCUGCCGAUUUGUGUGUUGCGCAGCGAAAUUCUGUUUCGCUGCCGCAACUGAACCUGCUGCAGCGAAUUAAUAUUCGCUGCCGAUUUGUGUGUUGCGCAGCGAAAUUCUGUUUCGCUGACGCAACUGAACCUGCUGCAGCGAUUUGAUAUUCGCUGCCGAUUUGUGUGUUGCGCAGCGAAAUUCUGUUUCGCUGACGCAACUGAACCUCCUGCAGCGAUUUGAUAUUCGCUGCCGAUUUGUGUGUUGCGCAGCGAAAUUCUGUUUCGCUGCCGCAACUGAACCUGCUGCAGCGAAUUAAUAUUCGCUGCCGAUUUGUGUGUUGCGCAGCGAAAUUCUGUUUCGCUGCCGCAGCUGAACCUCCUGCAGCGAAGUGAUAUUCGCUGCCGAGUUGUGCGUUGUGCAGCGAAACUGUGGCGCCAACAGCGGUGCAGUUCUCGCUGCCGAACUGGCAGCCUGCGGCGAACCAGUUCUCGCUGCCGAAUUGGGCAGCUCGCAGCGAACCAGUUCUCGCUGUCGAUUCCUACAAUAAGCCUCCUAGGCAGGAAUGACUUAAAUGCUAAUAACAAUUUCAUGAUAUGAUGGUGUAAAAUAGGGAACACUUGAAUGUGAACAUAUGAACUAUUGAAAUAAGUGUGAUGAUGAAUGUGAUUCAAAAAUAAAAUAAAUACAACUGUGCUGAUUUGUGACCAUUGAUGUCUUAGGUGGUGCGGUCGGGAUUGGACCAUCAUCAAGACAGGAACGACCCACAGGUGGAGCAGGUAGGUGACUUGCACCUUUCUUUUUCAUACGUUGAAUCUUGGAAUAUUUUAACUUGAGUACUACCAUAUUGUUAGAACUGAUAUUAAAUUGUCGAACGCUUAAUUGUUGAUAAAAGAGUGAUUAGCUUCGGCUAAUGGCAUCCGAAUGGAUGGCCGGGACAAAAGACUGAUUAGCUUCGGCUAAUGGCAUCCAAACGGAUGGCCGGGACAAAGAAUGAUUAGCUUUGGCUAAUGGCGUCCGAAUGGAUGGCCAGGAUGAAGGACUGAUUAGCUUCGGCUAAUGGCAUCCAAACGGAUGGCCGGGACAAAGAGUGAUUAGCUUCGGCUAAUGGCAUCCGAAUGGAUGGCCGGGACAAAGAAUGAUUAGCUUUGGCUAAUGGCGUCCGAAUGGAUGGCCGGGUUAAAAAGGGAUGAUUUCGCUGCCGAUUGUGGAUCGGCAGCGACGCAGUUCCGCUGCCGAUUCUGGAUCGGCAGCGAUGCAGUCUUCGCUGCCGAUACAGACAUCGGCAGCGACCCAGUUUCGCUGCCGAUUCCUUGAUCGGCAGCGAUGUAGUUUCGGCUGCCGAUUUUAGGAUGGGCAGCGACGCAGCUAUCGCUAUGGAAUCCGGAUGGAUAGCCGGGACAAAUAAACGACUAGUUUCGGCGAAUGGCAUUUGAAAACUUGUGUAUCUAUAUGUACUACUAAUUGUUACAUCAAAUACAUGAAGAAAUUAUAAAUGUUAAUGCUUAUUUAAUUGCUAGGCCGUUAGUUACCAUUAUUAUUAUUAAGUAUUUGUUUUCUCUUAAAUGUUUUGUACUGCUGCAGGGACGUCACACCAACGAGAUGUCUAGGAUACCCGAUACACGGGAACCUACUUUUGCAAGGAAUUAAGUAGAUGCAUUCUAAAUCACAAUGUAUUUUGUAGGGAUCAAUGUACUGAAUGUAUAACUUUUAUUAGAUCCUUUUUGUUUAAAAUUUGUGAUGGCUAUUAGAAGUAUAAGAGUGCAAACUCAUGUCCAUGUAUAUAUAUUUUUAAUAUGAACUUCAAAUCAUGCAACCUUAAUAUUAUGUGUUUGUGUAAGAUUCGCUUUUGAAUGAACUGUUGAUUGUAUGGAUUGUAUUUUGAUGAUGUGAGGAUUCAAGUUCUUUGAUUAUCGGCACCAUGAGGGGGAUAAUAUAUAUAUAAAAAAAAAUUACUAUUGUUUUGGGCUUAGAAAGCCGGGUUGUUACAGAAUCACCAGAAUCAUAAUGAAUUAGGAAAGCACUAAACUGUGGUCAAGAAAGAAAUGGUUAAUGAAUGGCAACGGCCUGUGCUACUCUAAAGCAGAUUCGAUCAGAAUUAGUAAGACAAGUCACUGAUUGUUAUUCAUGUUGGAUACAGACACUAAACUGUAAUCCAACUGAUACAAGCGUUAUUUCAAGGGAACCUACUGGAAUAGAAUCCAGUCAAUUGGUGAGUCUGUUACGUAAGAGGAUGAGGGGGAUAAUAGUGAGAAUAAUAUGGGCAAUGGCAAUGGUCAUUCAUCAUGCAUUCAUUAUGUUUUUCAAUGUCUUUCUCUGUUACAGUUGUGCCAUAUAUAUACACAGCAUUCUUUCUAGAUUACUGACUAUAACUAAUUCCUUUUAUUCUGGCCUGAGAGCACACACAAGUCGUGUGCUUGAAUUCAGUUAAUUGGAACGGUGUCAAUUAAUGAAACGGAGCGUUUAACAAUGACUGUAACGACUUUAACGACUUUUUAACAAUUUAAAUCUACCCGCCUUCCCUUGGCUUAAGUUGUGCAUGUAACAGGUAUUCCCUCUUCGAAAACGACCUUGUCCUCAAGGGAGAACUCUGGGAAACGAUAUUUAAUGUCAUCAGCAAACUCCCAUGUGGCGUCAGACGGGGUGAGACCCUUCCAGUGGAGCAGAAUUUGUGUGGUGGCCUGGUUACCUCUCUUCACCAUUCUGCGGUCCAGAAUUGCCUGUGGAAUGAUCAUGGGAACUGAAGGAGUAAUAGGCAAAGUUGACUGCACGAUCUUAUUCCCUAUGUGUUUCUUCAACUGUGACACAUGAAAAAUUGGGUGGAUGGAAGCAGUAGGUGGUAACAACAACUUGUAGGCCACAGAACCAAUCUUCUUUAAAAUCGAAAAAGGGUCAUAGAAUUUUGCAGCUAAUUUCUGAGAACUUCUGCGUGCCAUGGAUUUCUGACGAUAGGGCUGUAGUUUGAGGUAGACUAAGUCCCCUGGGUUAAACUGUCUGUCGCUGCGUUUGCGGUUGGCAAUUUGCAUCAUUCGAUGCUGAGCCUUGAGUAAGUUGUCUCUGAUUUGGCCAAGCAUUUCUUCCCUCUGUGUGAGUAAUUGAUCAACAGCCUCCACUGUGGAAUCUUUAGGAAAACAGGGAAUGUGCAGAGGAGGAGGAAACCCGUAUAAUAUCUCGUAGGGAGUAGACUUAGUAGCUGUGUGGUAAUUGGUGUUGUACCACCAUUCAGCAAGAGGCACCCACUUAGACCAUUGAUGAGGACUGUCACCAGACAUGCAGCGUAAGUAAUACUCUAAGCACCUGUUCACCACUUCUGUUUGGCCAUUAGAUUGUGGGUGGUAAGCUGUAGAAUGAUGUAGGUUUACUCCCUGAUGUUGGAAUAAUUGCUGCCAGAAAUGACUUAAGAAAACUGGAUCUCUGUCAUUGACAAUGGUAGCUGGGAGGCCAUGCAGCUUAUAGACGUUGUCCAUGAAAACUCUGGCCACCGAAGAGGCUGAAUAUGGAUGAAUAAGGGCCAUAAAAUGUGCAUAUUUGCUGAAUCUGUCCACAACCACCAGAAUGACUUCCUUACCUUCUGAUUUAGGUAGGCCCUCAAUGAAAUCCAUGCUGAUAUCAGUAAAUGGAGCAAGAGGAACAGGUUGAGGUUGCAGUAGCCCUGGGGUUAGCACAUUCUCGUGUUUGUUUUGUUGACAGAUACUACAUUCCCUCACAAAUUGCCUAAUAUGUUUCUGCUGCUUCUUCCAGUAGAACAGACUGCCUACCUUUUGAGCUGUAACCACCACGCCUGAGUGACCCCCUGCAGCUGUGUCAUGGUAUAGGGCUAUCAGCUUGUUAUGUAGUGCAGGAUUGUGGCCUACCACAAUUUUACCCUUUCGGUUCAAAUGGUUGUUGACCCAUGUAUAGUGAGGAUGGGAACGAGGGUCAUGCAACAAAUCACAUAUAAUGUGCCUAAGACUAUCAUCAGAUGCCCAAGUCAUUCUGAUUUCGUCCAUGAGAGGAGUGGAAAUGGAAGUCAUGAUCAUAGUGCUUAAUUGUCCACUAGGAAUCCUUGAUAAAGCGUCUGCGGCCACAUUAUCUUUUCCUUUGCGAUACUCAAUCUCAUAAUCAAAACCCAGUAAUUUAGUAAGCUAGAGGUGUUGAGAAGGAUAUGUUACCUUUUGAUCCAGCAAAUGCUUAAGGCUAAUGUGAUCAGUCCUUAUGCGAAAAUGUCUCCCCCAAAGGUAAUGUUUCCACUUAGCCACUGCCUGUAGAAUUGCAAACAUCUCCCUCUCAUAAGCAGAAAAAGCUUGUUGCCUAUGACCAAGAGCUUUGCUGAGGAAAGUUAUAGGAUGUCCUUCCUGCAUUAGCACAGCCCCCACACCUGUGCCUGAAGCGUCAGUUUCAAUGACAAACAACUUGGUCAUGUCAGGUAAGGCCAAUACCGGAGGAUUUGUCAUGGCUUGUUUUAAUUUGUCGAAAGCAACCGUAGCCUCUUCAUUCCACUUGUAAAAAUCCUUCUUGAGGAGCCGAGUUAAAGGUUUACAGAUGGCCCCAUAACCUUUGACAAACCUUAUAUAAUAACCUGUGAGUCCUAGAAAACCUCUCAGUUGUUUGAUGUUUCUAGGAAAUGGCUAAUUGACAAUAGCUUGGAUCUUGAGUGGAUCGGUGGCCACCCCAGACUUGGUGAUCACGUGGCCCAGAUACUCCACUUGAGAGCUGCCCAAAACACACUUACUUCUCUUAGCAAGGAGACUCCGACUUCUGAGUAUCUCAAAUACGAUCUGCAGCUGUUCCACAUGCUUUUCCAAAGUAGGGCUGUACACCAAGAUGUCGUCAAAGAAGACUAGAAUAAAUUUUCGUAAAUGUCUUCUGAAGAUGUCGUUCAUCAAGCUCUGAAAGGUGGCUGGUGCAUUGGUUAAGCCGAAUUGCAUGAUCAAAAACUCAUAAUGGCCAUUAUGGGUUCUGAAAGCUGUCUUGCGUAUGUCGCCAGCAAGCAUCCUUAUUUGGUGAUAACCAGCCCGUAGAUCAACCUUAAAGAAUACAGUAGCCCUGCCCAGUUCUUCCAACAGUUCUUCGACAAUCGGAAUAGGGAACUUGUCUUUGAUUGUCAUUUUAUUAAGAGCCCUGUAAUCCACACACAACCGCCAAGUAUCAUCUUUCUUCUUUACCAAAACUACUGGUGAAGCAAAAGGGCUGGUGUUGUGUUGUAUAAUGCCAGAAUCCAGCAUUUCUGUUACUAUUUUCUCCACUAUAUCCUUUUGUAAGCCAGUGUGACGAUAAGGCCGGAGGUUGAUUGGUUGUGAUCCUUCCUUGAGAGGAAUAGCAUGGUCAUGUGCUCUAAGAGGAGGAAGUCCUGUUGGCUUCUUAAAAAUGUCCUGGUAAGAAUGUAACAAUUCAUCUAUAGUUGCAUUAUUUCCAAGACUGGGUUGCAGGGUCGUUGUCAUUGAGCUGAUGAAAUGGUCACUGUCUUCUAUGACUCUGAGGCUGCAGAGAUUAACCUCCACGAGCUUAUUUGGAUUGUUAAUCAAGCUAUUGAAUUGUUCAAAACCAAUCGUCUGGAGCUUAACUGGAGUGUCUCCUUGCAGCAAUAUGUCUUGCCCUUGCCAUAUAAAAGACAUCCAUAAAUCAUUGUAAUUGGAUAGAAUGUUACCCAAUGUAGCCAACCAUUGUACUCCCAGCACCAUAUCACAAUUGUUGAGCUCCACCACAAACACAUCUGUAAAGAACUUGACUCCUUGCAUUUUCCAAAGAAAAUUCUUGCACACAUGAGUACAAGUCAUCUGACCACCAAUGGCUGCUUCCACUGCUAAGGGCCGAAUUGGAGUGAGAGUGCAGCUCAGUUUCUUUGCCACCUGAGUGUUGAUAAAAUUGUGUGUGCUUCCUGAGUCGAUCAUGAUAAAGAGUGGAGACUUUUCAACCUUACUAGUCACUCUUAGAGUCUGAAAACCUGAAGUACCCUCUAAGGCAUUGAUGGAUAUUUGGGGUGUGAAGUUGUCAGGGUCCAUCUCACUGCCUUGCUGGACCUCUUCUUCUGCAACAUCCUCGUCGUCCAAAAUACAUAAGGAGUACACCCUUUUAUUUCUGCAUCGAUGGUCGGGUAUGAAUUUCUCAUCACACCAGAAACACAAUCCCUUCGCUCUCUUUUCAUCCAGCUCCUUAUUUCUAAGGGUCUUUGUAGGUCUGUCAGGUGUGCUUGAAGACUUCUAAUGGUAGGGAAUCGAUUUUGCAGUGUGGUUGUUGUGGUAUAGAGUUGUUUUAAUGUUGUUUGGGGCAAUAAAAGGCUUCGGUGGGUUGAUACCAGUAGUUUGGUAGGUGUUCUUUGAGUAAGAAGGAUGGGGUUACCUAUGACUGAUUGUGUUUUCUUGUAGCCUAGCUAGGUUGUAAGCUUGGUAUAAGGUUUUGGGUUCAAACAUUUUAACCAUGUUCUUAAUCUCAACCUCUAACCCUCCAAGGAAAAAGACCAGAGCCUGUCUCUCUGUCAUCUUUGCCCUAUUCCAUAAAAUAUCAAAUUCUUGUAUAUAAGUUUCUAAAUCAGCCUUUUGCUUGAGAUCUUUUAGUUCCUCUAGAGGGUCUUUUUGGCCGCCAAAACGACAACACAAUGCUUCAAUAUAUUCACUCCAUUGGACAUCAGGACGAUGCCUAACAAAAUUCUGAUGCCAAUACAAGGCUCUGUCAUCCAUGUAAUAGGAAGCUUGUUUGAGUUUUUCAGAAUCAUUCAUUUCUGUGAUUUCAAAGUACUGGUUACACCUGAAUAACCAUUGAUAGACAUUGUCUCCAUUGAAACUAGGAAAAUCACGUCUAGGCCUGUGUACCUGUCAGGAAUGUUGAUCUGCUUCUCUGGUCCAGUUGUUCCUGGUGGCUCCAUUGGAGCAACCUGGCUGCUCAUGGUUAGCAAUUGGUUCACCUCUUCCCAAGCUCAGCUUUUGCAGAAAAGAGCUUUGCUGGAAUGUUAAGCCGCUGAUCAAGUCUUUGAUCUCCCCAAACUUAACCUCAUGGCUCUCCAUUUUCUGGCCAUACACUUCCAAUAACUUGGUUACUUGCUCAUAUUUGGCUGCAUGCUCCUUGUUGGCAGACUGAAGUGACUCCUCCAAGCGCCUGAGAUCCUGUGUUCUGGUGUCUAGAGGCAUGGCUGGUGUCCAAGGUUCGCAAGCUCUGAUACCAGUUGAUACAAGCGUUAUUUCAAGGGAACCUACUGGAAUAGAAUCCAGUCUAUUGGUGAGUCUGUUACGUAAGAGGAUGAGGGGGAUAACAGUGAGAAUAAUGUGGGCAAUGGCAAUGGUCAUUCAUCAUGCAUUCAUUAUGUUUUUCAAUGCAUUUCUCUAUUACAGCUGUGCCAUAUAUAUACACAGCAUUCUUUCUAGAUUAUUGACUAUAACUAAUUCCUUUUAUUCUGGCCUGAGAGCACACACAAGUCGUGUGCUUGAAUUCAGUUAAUUGGAACAGUGCCAAUUAAUGAAACGGAGCGUUUAACAAUGACUGUAACGACUUUAACGACUUUUUAACAAUUUAAAUCUACCCGCCUUCCCUUGGCUUAAGUUGUGCAUGUAACACCAACAAAUUCAGAUUGUUCUGUCGAAUAUAAAUACAUUCAGUAUCAAUAAGACACGAAACUAAUACUCUAAGAUUUCCUAAAAAGCAAUUUUAAACAUAAAUACAAAAGGCAAAUACAACUACUAUCAAUACAAGGAAAAACCAUGAAUAUCAAAAACAGGUAGCAAAACAUAAAACCCAAAUUAAAAAAAAAGGUGCAAAAAAAAAUGUACCUGCAAGUAAAGUCUCAGGGGUCUUUGUUGAAGAAACUCGACACCUAGCAAUAUCUUGCCGGCAACAAACCAUUCUCCUGGAACCAUAAUCCCUGUUACAACUCUUAGAAACUGACUUUGCAUAAUUCCUCACCGAAUACCUAUCUAUUGAAUCACUGAGGAGCAGCCACAAGCCACCAAAUGAAGUUUAGCCCUUCCAAAAUCAAGAUUACGGCAAGUCAUUUACAUCAUUCUCAAUAGCAACACCCCAAGAAAGCAAAAAAGAAACAAUCUUUUGCUAUCCACUUAAAAUACCCAGAUAGAAAAUAUUGCUCAAUUUGCCAUAUAACUAACAGCCUUGAGAAACAAAUAGAGUAUUCGGCAGGUUGAAAGUGUUUUUUUUUUUUAAAAAAAUUGAUUUAAAUUAAUUUUUUGUUUUAAUGUUUUUAAAUUAGUUUGAUGUUUUAUAUGAAUUUUAAAAAAUAAAAAAAUAUAUUAUUUUAAUAUAUUUUUAAAUAAAAAUAAUUUGAAAAACAAAAUAAUUGGAGUGUUAAAAAUUUAGAGUAGAGAUUAUUUUUUAAAAUAUUUUUUAUUUAAAAAUACAUUAAAAUAUAUUAAAAAAAUCCUUCAAAAUAACUCAUGAAAACCAAAACUAUCAUUUUGAUUACUAAACAACCGUUAAGUUUCUUUAUCUUUCUUUAUUUUUGUUAUGAUUUUUUUUAUUCUUUAAAUUUAAAAAUUAAAAUAUAAAUAAAAUAAAGUUUUAGAUAAAAGUUAAAAAUAUUAAAACUGAACGGUUGUGGGUUGGGCCGAAACCAAGGGAGGUUUGCUGAAGGUGUUUCAGAGGCAACAAAGAGUCAAGUCUCAUUCCUUCCAUUUGGAUGGGGUCCUCGAAUAUGCGUUGGACAGAACUUUGCUUUGAUUGAAGCAAAAAUGGCUUUGGCAAUGGUUUUACAGCGCUACUCUUUUGAGCUCUCUCCGUCGUAUAUUCAUGCUCCUCGCACAGUCAUAACUCUUCAGCCACAGCACGGUGCUCCAAUGAUAUUACGUAAACUCUAAAAUGUUCAUAUGUGACGGGUAAGAGUUAUCCCAGGGUAUAAAGGAGGUUGGAUCUCCCAAUAAACCAAACCAAAAACAAAGCCUGUAGUAUAUAAUAUUAUGUUCAAAUGCUAUCAUGUCCAAUGACAUAUUUUUCGUAUUAAUCACAACAUUAUAGUACCGUGGGUUGUUUUACUGUAAUCAUAGUAGAUUACUAUAAUAAAAUUACAUAUUUGCUUUUGAGUGGAAAAAAAAAAAGUCCUGAGAUGGGGUGUUUUGAUCUUUUCUAUUAGCCCAUUCAUCAUUAAAAAAAUAAUUAGGAUGUAGAAUUUAUUUUUUUUGCAUGAUAAAAAGAUUUUCUUACUUUUGAAGUCAACAAAACUUAAAGUGAUUGACAAAAAAAAUUUAAUUUUUAUAAAAAAGUUUCUUUAUCCUGGGAGAUUAAAAAAUUGUUGGGCUAUUGGACAAUAGGUUUUUUUUUUUCAUUAUUCAUAUGUAGUAAAAGUAUAUUUUUGACCCUAGAUAAGACAAAAAAUCAAGUUUGUAUUUAGGGGUAUUUGUAUACUUUCGCACGUGCUUUUAGGUAAUUACCAAGAUCAUAAGAGUUUUUUAGUAUUUUUAAGUUGAGUUUUUAAUUUUUUUAAUCAGAAAAGUUGUUGGUGUGUGGUAAGCACGCCAACAAGUAGAUGACGUCUGCGUCGUUCUAAUGUGAUCUAGUUGCCUCAUUUAAAACUUGAUCUGACUUCAAAAGUAACUUUAAGUUGUCAUCGUUUUAACCUUUGCGCAAUCCAAUCAGGUAUAAAUGAGAAACAAUGGAUUGUCAUAUGAGAAAAUCGUUUUUUUUUUUAAGAUUUAUGGGGCGAAACGAAAAGAUAACACCAUAUUGAAUUAACCUCGAUCAAUCUAGGUAACACCUACAACAUGCGUUGACAGGGUCAUGACAUGACCACAACAAACUAAUAUAGUUUGGUUAUUUGUGUCUUUAAUUUCCCUUCCUUUAUUUUCUUGCAGGUUGGGCCUUUAUUGGGCUCUGAUGUGAUAAAAUUUGGAACCAAUUGAAGAGUUAUAAAAGACUUAAAAAUCAAAUCAAAAAUAUUUAAGAAGUUAUAAAAGAAUCAAGGAUCAAAUUAAAAAAAAAAUAAGAGACCGAAUAAAAAUAAAAGAAGAUGUGUGCAACGCACAUGUCAAUAUGGAAAGAAGUUUGUCAUGUUUAGACUAUAUGUGUAACUUUCUUUAAGCUAUGAUGAUGGAUGUCCUUGGUCGGAAUUGCCUCGGUAGCAUCUCUCUUCCAUGGCAUCGACGGCGUAGUCAUGAUGUGGUGCUGAUAAUCUCUUUUUCUUUUUGUGUUUCUUUUCCCAUGUUUCUUCUUUUCUCAACCCCUUAAUUCUUGGGCAUGGCCUGGAAGAGAGAGAAAAAAAAAACCACAAUUUUAAUUUACAAUAACUUAUUUAACUUCUUAGAACAAAGCAUAAUCAUGCUUUCAAUGUCAAACCAUGUGAUCAUCAGGGAAAAAAUGAAAAUACCAUCUAACUUAUAAAUGGCCGCUCUUCAUGCUGAGAUUCUAAUUACUAUUCAUUUAUUUAUUUAUUUAUUUUAUCUACUCCAACCAACAAUUUGUUUAUUCUCAUGAAUUAAUUAAUUUAAUGACUACAACCGUAAAGAAUCCAAACAAAAGGAAUAUUAGUUCCAAACACUAGCAAACAAGAUAUGGAGAUGGCCAUUCACAAUUGACAUUUCUGCCACACAAACAGUAAAACAAUAUCAUUGAAACUUGAAACUUGCUCGGAAAGAAAUGUUUGAAGGCAAUAAUAUUUAAUUGGUCUCUCUGCGCACAUCACCUGCCCAAAGUCUUCGCCUUAUCUCUCGCUCUCUCAUCCAUUUCUGGAUUUAUUUCUUCGUGUAAAAAUGACAGUAACAGUCUCUUCAAUUCUAGUCUCCAUUGUUUAUGUUGCAGUGCUAAGAUGGGCAUGGAGAGUUUUGAACUGGGUUUGGUUUCGGCCGAAGAAGGUCGAGAGGUGCUUGAGACAACAAGGUUUUGCAGGCAAGCCUUACAGGCUUUUGUUCGGAGACUGGAAAGAAAGUUCAGAUAUGUUGAAAGAAGCAAGGACCAAACCCAUUGGUUUAUCAGACGCUCUUCUACCUCGUGUCAUGCCCUUCCUCCAUCAACUGGUCAAGGAUUAUGGUAUUCAACACGCAACCCUUUAUUAUCUCUCUCGUAGAAAAGAUGCUUUUUCUUGCUAGUUAAAUAUUUCUCCUUCUAUAAGGCGGCAAUGAUUGAGAAAUUAAAACCAGUUGAUCAUGAUGAAUUUUAUUUAUGUCGAACAACUUUUGUUCACCGUUUCUCAGUAAAACUCUGUCAUCAUCGGUUUAUUUUAAUUGAUAAAAUAUUAUUUCUUACGAAUACAAAAACAAAUUAAUUUUCCAUUGGUAUCAUUGGGAAUCAGAAUGCCCAAUGUGCUGACCCAAUGUUUCAGCCCAUUUUCUUAAUUAUAGUUUUAGAGAGUUAUAAUAUUUUUAAAAUAGACCAAGUGGGUGUUAAUUUUCAAUAUUCAUGGUAUGCGUAUUUGAUCUCUUGGUAGUGUUGGUUUCCUGCUGGACAGAACAGUACUAGUUACUAAUAGUUGAAAACAUUGGUUUCAAAAGUAGUUGAGCCAGAGUUUUUUAAACGAGGAUGUAAAUUAUUAAUAAAUACUAUAUUAUAUAGAUAUAAAUUAUUAAUAAAUAUUAUAUUAUAUAGAUAUGUAUUAAAAAUUAAUUCAAAACAUAUAUAAUAAUUUAUAUCAAGUAAAAUUAAUUUAAAAAUACUUUCUUCAAGUUUUUAUAUUUUAAAGUCGCUUCAUAAUAACUUCAUUAUCAAUCUUAUCGAAAAUAUCUUUCUCAACGUAUACAAUCAAACUGUCAUUCAUCCACUUAUCUCCCGUCCUAUUCCGCAAUCGAAAGUUACAUAAUAAUUCUAAAUUUUCCAUAAAAAAUUCAUAGCAAAAUACACAUCAACUUAUCAAAAUCAAAAUCCAUUUCAAUUCAAAUCAAUUAAGUAUGUUGAUUAAAUUAUUUCUAAACAUUUAAUUGAGGAACAAUGUCUAGUGUCUGUGUAAGAGGAAUAAUGCUUAAAAAAUAUGUUUUCUACUUGAUAUUUUACUUAUAACCAAAUCAUGUGAAAAUAUUAAAUUUCAAUAAACUACUCUACCAACACAAAAGAUGCCAAGAAUAGUUGUUUUGCAUGAAUAUUAAUUUAUUCUUUUAUAAUAAGAAAAAAAUAUUUAAUUGAUUAAAUUAGCAGAUUCAAAUAUUUAUUUUGAACAUAUUCAUAUCAAAACCUUUAAAUUAUCAUAAAUUCUAAUAUUUUUAAUAACUAAUUAUAAAAGAAUAAAAUUAAAAUUAAAUAAUAAAAUAAAUAAAAAGAUGAAGGAAAUUUACCUAAACUAUAAAGUAAAAAGCAAAAAAAAUUAAUUAUUUAACUAUACUUGAAGAUAAAUUUAUAUAUUGGAGAGAACUAAAGAACGAGCUGGACAUGUAUACGGGAGAGAGGCAGGGAAAGUAAAAGAGAAAUUUGCAUAGUUAGAAUAAAAUAAAAUAAAAAGGAAAUGAGCUAAUAACAACUUUCUAAUAUCAAUCAUUUACUAAAUUAUUAUAUUAAUAUUUUAAUAUAAAAAAUAUUAAAAAAAAUUAAGGGGGCAAUUGUCCAUUUUUGCACCUAUGUGGCUCCGCCAAUGGUUUCCAAGUCAGUAUUGAACUUGUUAUUAGUUGGCUAGAGGUUGUAUAAAUAUAAAUAAAAGAACUUGAAUCUUAAAUAAGAGCAUGUUUAUUUUUGCGUUUUAAAAAUGUUUUUUUUUAAAUAAAUAUUUUUAUUUUUCUACUUUAACUUAAUGUUUUGGUGUUUUUAGAUCAUUUUGAUGUCAAAAUAAAUUUUAGAAAAUGAAGAAAACAUUAUUUCUAUGUAUUUUUAAACGAAAAAAUAUUUUAAAAAACAAUCGUUAUUACAAUACUAAAUGAGCUCCGAGGAUAUAUAGUGUGAUCGAAAACCAAUAGUAUUGUGUGCGUGGAGAAACAAGAAAAAAAUAAAGAAGAGUAAAUUGUGACUGUGUUUAUUGAAUGGAUACAUGUGAUAAUCUAGAUGGUGUAUAAUGGGUGCAUAGUGAUUAGUUUAGGUUGUGUAUAAUAUAACCUAUUCGUGUUGUGAGGGUACAAUUGUGUAGUUGUGUGGGGUAACUUGAUUAUUUUAUGAUUCAAAAAUCAGAUUCUAAAUGUUGAUUUAUAUUUAACAAAAUUAAUACUUUUGUAUUUAUCUAGGUAUAUUAAAAGAAUCAUAACUUUACGUUUUCUUGCAUGUUAAAGUAAAGUUGCAUCUAGAGAAGAUUAUACUUUGUCAACUCUAUUGAGGUGUUCAUAAAAAUAUAAAAAUCUAUUAGAAAAAGAAAUAAAAAUUCUCUUACAAGAAUUUUACCUUAUAGUGUGAAGUGCAAUUUUUUCUGGGUUUGGAUUUCUUUUGUUCAUAUCUCAAUUUGAGCCUCGUGUAUUUCCCUCAACAGAAGAAUAUAUAUAUAUAUAUAUUUUGAUUAAUAAGUAUGCUUCCUCUGACGAUGCAGGUAAGAAUUCAUUUAUGUGGGUUGGGCCGAAACCAAGAGUGAACAUCAUGAACCCUGAUCAGAUAAAGGACGUAUUCAUGAAGAUAAAUGAAUAUCAGAAGCCCUCGCACCCGCUGUUGAAAGCUAUAGCAUGUGGACUUCCAAGUCACGAGGGUGAAAAAUGGUCUAACCAUAGAAAGAUAAUCAACCCAGCAUUCCAUCAAGAGAAGAUAAAGGUGAUCAUGAUAGUCUCAACUUAUUUGCCUAUAAGCAUCCAUGCUAUUCGAUUGCCUUGAAUGAGUAGCAUGCAUGUUGUGCUCUCAUAUAGCUGUAAUAUAAAACUUUCGAUGAUGAUAUGUUCCGUUUGCUUGUUACAGCUUAUGAUACCUGCAUUUUACGAAAGUUGUAGUGGGAUGAUUAACAAGUGGGAGAAGCUGGUCUCUAUAGACGAGGGGUCAUGUGAAUUGGAUGUCUGGCCUGAUCUUCAAGGCUUAACAUGUGAUGCUAUUUCUCGAACGUCGUUUGGAAGUAAUUACGAAGAAGGAAAAAGAAUAUUUGACCUCCUCAAGGAACUUACCGAUCUUACAGUUCAUGUUAUAAUAAAAGCAAUUGUCAUACCAGGGUACAGGUAACUCAUUAUUCUGUUUUUGCUGGACAUUACAAUUCAGUUCCUUCAAGUUAGUCCUUGUUCAAUGAGAUAUAUCUUAAAAGUAAGAAGAAGAACAAAUCCAAAUCUCUUGACAACAUGUUCAUGGAUUGCAUGUAGGUUUCUGCCGAUCCCAUCUAAUAGAAGGCUAAAAGCUAUUGACAAAGAAAUAAAAGCUUCUCUUAAUGCUCUCAUCAACAAAAGAGAGCAAGCAAUGAGUGCUGGUGAAGAUGCAAAGAAUGACUUGUUGGGUUUACUUCUGGAAUCCAAUUUUAGAGAAAUACAAGAGCAUGGAAAUACGAAGAGCGUCGGAAUGAGCAUUGAAGAUGUGAUUGACGAAUGUAGAAUAUUCUACUUUGCUGGACAAGAAACAAC
RNAcentral lists this long non-coding RNA (21157 nucleotides) under Populus trichocarpa (black cottonwood). RNAcentral describes it as "long non-coding RNA (PTRI_LNC002758)". Lineage: Eukaryota; Viridiplantae; Streptophyta; Magnoliopsida; Malpighiales; Salicaceae. The record is from RNAcentral.